This 181-nucleotide ribosomal RNA is filed under the name uncultured bacterium. RNAcentral's name for it is "partial 16S ribosomal RNA". It matches the Rfam family "Bacterial small subunit ribosomal RNA", at positions 1318 to 1500 of the family's 1533-position model. The record is from RNAcentral.
GCAUGAAGUCGGAAUUGCUAGUAAUCGCGGAUCAGCAUGCCGCGGUGAAUACGUUCCCGGGCCUUGUACACACCGCCCGUCACACCAUGGGAGCCGGUAAUACCCGAAGUCAGUAGUCCAACCACGUGAGGACGCUGCCGAAGGUAGGAUUGGCGACUGGGUGAAGUCGUAACAAGGUAUC